AACGAACGCUGGCGGCAUGCCUAACACAUGCAAGUCGAACGAGACCUUCGGGUCUAGUGGCGCCCGGGUGCGUAACGCGUGGGAACCUGCCCUUAGGUUCGGAAUAACUCCCCGAAAGGGGUGCUAAUACCGGAUAAUGUCUUCGGCCCAAAGAUUUAUCGCCUUUGGAUGGGCCCGCGUUGGAUUCGCUAGUUGGUAGGGUAAAAGCCUACCAAGGCGACGAUCCAUUGCUGGUCUGGGUGGAUGAUCAGCCACACUGGGACAGAGACACGGCCCAGACUCCUACGGGAGGCAGCAGUGGGGAAUAUGGGACAAUGGGCGAAAGCCUGAUCCAGCAAGGCCGCGUGAGUGAUGAAGGACUGAGGGUUGUAAAGCUCUUUUACCCGGGAUGAUAAUGACAGUACCGGGAGAAUAAGCUCCGGCUAACUCCGU
RNAcentral lists this ribosomal RNA (432 nucleotides) under uncultured bacterium. Its description in RNAcentral is "partial 16S ribosomal RNA". It matches the Rfam family "Bacterial small subunit ribosomal RNA", at positions 29 to 506 of the family's 1533-position model. The record is from RNAcentral.